Molecule: ribosomal RNA, 374 nt
Filed under: uncultured bacterium
Lineage: Bacteria
Description: bacterial SSU rRNA
Rfam family: Bacterial small subunit ribosomal RNA
Source: RNAcentral
ACGUAGGGUGCGAGCGUUGUCCGGAAUUAUUGGGCGUAAAGGGCUCGUAGGCGGUUUGUCGCGUCGGGAGUGAAAGCCCAGGGCUUAACCCUGGGUCUGCUUCUGAUACGGGCAGACUAGAGGUAUGUAGGGGAGAACGGAAUUCCUGGUGUAGCGGUGAAAUGCGCAGAUAUCAGGAGGAACACCGGUGGCGAAGGCGGUUCUCUGGGCAUUACCUGACGCUGAGGAGCGAAAGUGUGGGGAGCGAACAGGAUUAGAUACCCUGGUAGUCCACACCGUAAACGUUGGGCGCUAGGUGUGGGAUCCAUUCCACGGGUUCCGUGCCGCAGCUAACGCAUUAAGCGCCCCGCCUGGGGAGUACGGCCGCAAGGCUA